AGAGUUUGAUCAUGGCUCAGAUUGAACGCUGGCGGAAUGCUUUACACAUGCAAGUCGAACGGCAGCACGAGAGCUUGCUCUUGGUGGCGAGUGGCGAACGGGUGAGUAAUAUAUCGGAACGUAUCCAAUAAUGGGGGAUAACUAAUCGAAAGGUUGGCUAAUACCGCAUACGCCCUACGGGGGAAAGCAGGGGAUCUUCGGACCUUGCGUUAAUGGAGCGGCUGAUAUCUGAUUAGCUAGUAGGUGAGGUAAAGGCUCACCUAGGCUUCGAUCAGUAGCUGGUCUGAGAGGACGACCAGCCACACUGGAACUGAGACACGGUCCAGACUCCUACGGGAGGCAGCAGUGGGGAAUUUUGGACAAUGGGGGCAACCCUGAUCCAGCCAUUCCGCGUGAGUGAAGAAGGCCUUCGGGUUGUAAAGCUCUUUCGCAAGGGAAGAAACGGUGCAGACGAAUAAUCUGUGCUAAUGACGGUACCUUGAUAAGAAGCACCGGCUAACUACGUGCCAGCAGCCGCGGUAAUACGUAGGGUGCGAGCGUUAAUCGGAAUUACUGGGCGUAAAGCGUGCGCAGGCGGUUUUGUAAGUCAGAUGUGAAAUCCCCGAGCUCAACUUGGGAACUGCGUUUGAAACUACAAGGCUAGAGUAUGGUAGAGGGGGGUAGAAUUCCACGUGUAGCAGUGAAAUGCGUAGAGAUGUGG
This 700-nucleotide ribosomal RNA is filed under the name uncultured bacterium. RNAcentral's name for it is "bacterial SSU rRNA". It matches the Rfam family "Bacterial small subunit ribosomal RNA", at positions 8 to 701 of the family's 1533-position model. The record is from RNAcentral.